UACAGAUCAGCCUCCCCAGACACAGAGCAGGUGAACGGGGAAUCUGGAGGGGCAAAUAGAAGCUAUCCAUUUUUUUUUAAAGUUCCAGCUCAGAGGUUUCCCCCUUUAUGACUUCAGAGUGUAAUAACACAUAGUUCGAAAUAGAAAUAUAGUAGAUGAUGCCAUACACGUUGUCACCUGCAAGCCCUGAGUUGAAGAACAAAUAGAAGAAUGAGUUGAAGGAUGUUUAAUAAUGAUUCAAGUGUUAACAGACACAAAUGGCAGCAUUACUUUCAUAUUGGAGUGCGGAAGACAGAAGGAGAAUGCCACAGUACUGCCUGAGGUGGGAUCCCCUAAAUCUUUAUGUUUUUAUAAUAAACCCUGGAAAUCUUUCUGUUAUGGACUGAAUCAUGUUCCACCCAAAAUUCAUAUGUUGAAGCCCUAAUCCCCAAUGCGACUGCAUUUGGAGAUAGGGCCUAUAAGGAGGUCGUAAAGAUUAAAUGAAGUCAUAAAGGUGGGGCCUUAAUCUGAUAGGACUGGAAUCCUUAUAAGAAGUGAAAGAGACACCGAGAUGCCUCUCUUUCUCUCCCUCUCUCUUAUUCUCUCCCUGUCCCUCUCUGCAUGUGCCCAGGGAGGAGGCCACGUGAGAGCACAGUAAAAACAUGUCUCUAACAGCCAGGAUGAGAGAUUUCACCAGUAACCAACUCUGAUGGACCCUUGAUCUUGGACUUCCAGUCUCCAGAACUGUGAGAAUAUAAAUUUCGUUUUCUAAGCUACCCAGUCUGUGGUAUUUUGUUUUGGCAGGCCGACCUAAGACACUAUCAUGGUCUUUGGAACCAAACUGAUGUGGACUCAUAUCUCAGCUCUACCAUUUAUUAGCCCUAUU
RNAcentral lists this long non-coding RNA (865 nucleotides) under Ursus maritimus (polar bear). RNAcentral describes it as "lncRNA (ENSUMAG00000023254.1)". Lineage: Eukaryota; Metazoa; Chordata; Mammalia; Carnivora; Ursidae. The record is from RNAcentral.